GAUGAACGCUGGCGGCGUGCCUAAUACAUGCAAGUCGAGCGAACAGACGAGGAGCUUGCUCCUCUGACGUUAGCGGCGGACGGGUGAGUAACACGUGGAUAACCUACCUAUAAGACUGGGAUAACUUCGGGAAACCGGAGCUAAUACCGGAUAAUAUAUUGAACCGCAUGGUUCAAUAGUGAAAGACGGUUUUGCUGUCACUUAUAGAUGGAUCCGCGCCGCAUUAGCUAGUUGGUAAGGUAACGGCUUACCAAGGCAACGAUGCGUAGCCGACCUGAGAGGGUGAUCGGCCACACUGGAACUGAGACACGGUCCAGACUCCUACGGGAGGCAGCAGUAGGGAAUCUUCCGCAAUGGGCGAAAGCCUGACGGAGCAACGCCGCGUGAGUGAUGAAGGUCUUCGGAUCGUAAAACUCUGUUAUUAGGGAAGAACAAAUGUGUAAGUACCUAUGCACGUCUUGACGGUACCUAAGCAGAGAGCCACGGCUAACUACGUG
This 497-nucleotide ribosomal RNA is filed under the name uncultured bacterium. Its description in RNAcentral is "partial 16S ribosomal RNA". It matches the Rfam family "Bacterial small subunit ribosomal RNA", at positions 28 to 507 of the family's 1533-position model. The record is from RNAcentral.